RNAcentral lists this ribosomal RNA (254 nucleotides) under uncultured bacterium. RNAcentral's name for it is "partial 16S ribosomal RNA". It matches the Rfam family "Bacterial small subunit ribosomal RNA", at positions 524 to 776 of the family's 1533-position model. The record is from RNAcentral.
UACGUAGGGUGCAAGCGUUGUCCGGAAUUAGUUGGGCGUAAAGAGCUCGUAGGCGGUUUGUCGCGUCUGCUGUGAAAACCCGGAGGCUCAACCUCCAGCCUGCAGUGGGUACGGGCAGACUAGAGUGCGGUAGGGGAGAUUGGAAUUCCUGGUGUAGCGGUGGAAUGCGCAGAUAUCAGGAGGAACACCGAUGGCGAAGGCAGAUCUCUGGCCGUAACUGACGCUGAGGAGCGAAAGCAUGGGGAGCGAACAGG